Long non-coding RNA from Herpailurus yagouaroundi (jaguarundi), 329 nucleotides. RefSeq lists it as uncharacterized. Lineage: Eukaryota; Metazoa; Chordata; Mammalia; Carnivora; Felidae. The record is from RefSeq and is a predicted model, not a curated record. The transcript has 2 exons.
AGGAAGUGGCUGAGAGAGGAUUAUUUCUUUCUGAGAUGACCAUACUCAGUGACCAAACUACCUUACUAAGCUGUGGACAAGGAGAAGGGAAGAAGACACAAUGACUGCCCUAGGGAAAUAAUAGGACAGCAUAGAACCAAGGCAGGCAUUGCUGUGAUCUGAAGAGUGACCAAAACUCCAAUACCAACAAGACAUCAAAGAUAACUUCAAAGCACCUGAGUUUUAAAGCGGGUAUAAUGUCUGGCGUGAUCUGGCAGGUUUUGAAAGGAUAACGUUCUGUCUGAGUUAUGAUAAAACUUCAUAAAGAUUUAUGUGUUUCUUGAAGCUUA